GAUGAAGAACGCAGCGAAAUGCGAUACUUGGUGUGAAUUGCAGAAUCCCGUGAACCAUCGAGUCUUUGAACGCAAGUUGCGCCCGAAGCCAUUAGGCCGAGGGCACGCCUGCCUGGGCGUCACACGUCGUUGCCCCCCAUCUACUCCUUCGGGAUUGCGGGGGGCGGAUGAUGGCCUCCCGUGCGCCUCGUCGCGCGGUUGGCAUAAAUGCCAAGUCCUCGGCGACGCACGCCACGACAAUCGGUGGUUGCGAAACCUCGGUUGCCCGUCGUGUGCGGUCGUCGCGCAUCGAGGGCUCGAAAAAAUUGCCGGGCUCCGGCUCGGCUUUCAACGCGACCCCAGGUCAGGCGGGGUUACCCGCUGAAUUUAAGCAUAUCAUAAGCGGAGGA
Molecule: unclassified non-coding RNA, 389 nt
Filed under: soil metagenome
Description: partial contains 5.8S ribosomal RNA, internal transcribed spacer 2, and large subunit ribosomal RNA
Rfam family: 5.8S ribosomal RNA (bases 1-122)
Source: RNAcentral